Molecule: non-coding RNA, 96 nt
Organism: Caenorhabditis elegans
Lineage: Eukaryota; Metazoa; Nematoda; Chromadorea; Rhabditida; Rhabditidae
Source: Ensembl
AAAAAGGGAAAUGUGAAAAGUUGGAUUUGAUGCCAUAAAUUACAUCUCUCAGCGCCCCAAUUUCCGGGGGCUGCGUAUAAAAAGAAACUGGCUUUU